UUUAUUCCAUUUCAUUUAAAAAAUCAUAACUCUUUAAUUUGAAUUCCAAAAUAUAUGGGACCAAUUGCAUUAUUUCCUUUUUAAUUUCUAGUUUCUAAAAAUGAUUUUUAAUAAUUUUUAUUUUGUCAUUUGAUAUUUUUUGUGAAUUUUCUCUUUUCUGGUUAUUUUUAAUUCAUUUUAAAUAGUUUCUAAUAUUCAAAAAAUACAAAAAUAUUUUCUCAACCUCUUUGAAUGAUGAUGGAUCUAUGAAAAAUAUUCUCAUCA
RNAcentral lists this long non-coding RNA (264 nucleotides) under Lathyrus oleraceus (garden pea). RNAcentral describes it as "Pisum sativum (pea) long non-coding RNA (PSAT_LNC001183)". Lineage: Eukaryota; Viridiplantae; Streptophyta; Magnoliopsida; Fabales; Fabaceae. The record is from RNAcentral.